This 71-nucleotide transfer RNA is filed under the name Bos taurus (domestic cattle). It matches the Rfam family "tRNA". From Rfam's summary of the family: Transfer RNA (tRNA) molecules are approximately 80 nucleotides in length. Their secondary structure includes four short double-helical elements and three loops (D, anti-codon, and T loops). RNAcentral also lists the same sequence under 5 other names. Lineage: Eukaryota; Metazoa; Chordata; Mammalia; Artiodactyla; Bovidae. The record is from Rfam by way of RNAcentral.
UCCGAGGUGGCUCAGUGGUAAAGAAUCUGCCUGCAAUGCAGGAGACCCAGGUUCAAUCCCUGGGUCAGGAA